GGGUAGUACUCGGUUAAAGCAAUAGACAGGACAAGCAUGUAGGACCGAGAGCGUAGGGCUUGCGGACGCGGGUUCGACUCCCGCCACCUCCACCA
Molecule: transfer-messenger RNA, 95 nt
Filed under: Halothiobacillaceae bacterium
Lineage: Bacteria; Pseudomonadati; Pseudomonadota; Gammaproteobacteria; Chromatiales; Halothiobacillaceae
Description: partial transfer-messenger RNA
Rfam family: transfer-messenger RNA
About the family: Bacterial tmRNA, also known as 10Sa RNA or SsrA, is named for its dual tRNA and mRNA-like properties. Its role is to liberate the mRNA from a stalled ribosome.
Source: RNAcentral